UUAUGAAUGGGGUAUUUAAAGCAACAGUGAGUGAGUUACAGAGCUCUUUGAAUUUAUCUUGCACCGGGGAGCAGGUCAUAAUUUUAUACUAUCUCUGCUUUAAUACAAUUGCACUUUGAUGAAGCCUAGUGGGAAAAACUUGGCAGGGGGAAUUAGGCAGCAGACUUCUACUUAACAACAGAACAGUAUUUCAGACAAAAUGUAAAACCACCUGGAUUCAGCAGGUGUGCAAAUGUUUGAACUAUU
Molecule: non-coding RNA, 246 nt
Organism: Pelobates cultripes (western spadefoot toad)
Lineage: Eukaryota; Metazoa; Chordata; Amphibia; Anura; Pelobatidae
Source: the annotation of a GenBank genome assembly